UGGGGAGUGGUGUAACGGUAACACACUUGCCUUUGGAGCAAGGUACUCUAGGUUCGAAUCCUAGCUCCCCAA
Molecule: transfer RNA, 72 nt
Filed under: Pseudomonadota bacterium
Lineage: Bacteria; Pseudomonadati; Pseudomonadota
Also listed under: 4 other names
Description: tRNA-Gln
Rfam family: tRNA
About the family: Transfer RNA (tRNA) molecules are approximately 80 nucleotides in length. Their secondary structure includes four short double-helical elements and three loops (D, anti-codon, and T loops).
Source: RNAcentral